Molecule: ribosomal RNA, 388 nt
Filed under: uncultured bacterium
Lineage: Bacteria
Description: bacterial SSU rRNA
Rfam family: Bacterial small subunit ribosomal RNA
Source: RNAcentral
AUUGAACGCUGGCGGCGUGCUUAACACAUGCAAGUCGAUCGGUAACAGGUGUAGCAAUACAUGCUGACGAGAGGCGGACGGGUGAGUAAUGCUUGGGAAUCUGCCUAUUAGUGGGGGACAACCCGGGGAAACUCGGGCUAAUACCGCAUACGCUCUACGGAGGAAAGCCGGGGACCGCAAGGCCUGGCGCUAAUAGAUGAGCCCAAGUCGGAUUAGCUAGUUGGUAGGGUAACGGCCUACCAAGGCGACAAUCCGUAGCUGGUCUGAGAGGACGACCAGCCACACCGGAACUGAGACACGGUCCGGACUCCUACGGGAGGCAGCAGUGGGGAAUAUUGGACAAUGGGGGCAACCCUGAUCCAGCGACGCCGCGUGGGUGAAGAAGGCC